AUGUUCUUGAAGAAGGAAGUCACUGGCCACUGUAAUCACAGACCUUCAAAACCACCUGAAAGGACUUCAGAGAAGAGAUCCGGAGUAAGGCACUCUGUGCUCUGGGAAAAACUGGCAGAACGGGUCUUCAGACAGUUAGAUAUUUUCCGAAUAUUUUAUGAGCCCAAUUUCUUGCCUCUUCUCAUGUAUAGAAAAGCACUAAAAUCAUUAAUGAUGAUAUCGGCUCUUUGUGACUAGCAGCAAGCCUCUGCCAAAAUGUGUGGUUG
This 266-nucleotide long non-coding RNA is filed under the name Capra hircus (goat). Its description in RNAcentral is "lncRNA (ENSCHIG00000001628.1)". Lineage: Eukaryota; Metazoa; Chordata; Mammalia; Artiodactyla; Bovidae. The record is from RNAcentral.